Molecule: ribosomal RNA, 397 nt
Filed under: uncultured bacterium
Lineage: Bacteria
Description: bacterial SSU rRNA
Rfam family: Bacterial small subunit ribosomal RNA
Source: RNAcentral
GUGUCAGCAGCCGCGGUAAUACGUAGGGGCCAAGCGUUGUCCGGAUUCAUUGGGCGUAAAGAGCUCGUAGGCGGUUCGGUAAGUCGGGUGUGAAAUCUCCACGCUCAACGUGGAGGGGCCACCCGAUACUGCCGUGACUAGAGUCCAGUAGGGGAGUGUGGAAUUCCCGGUGUAGCGGUGAAAUGCGCAGAUAUCGGGAGGAACACCAGUGGCGAAGGCGGCACUCUGGGCUGGAACUGACGCUGAGGAGCGAAAGCGUGGGGAGCGAACAGGAUUAGAUACCCUGGUAGUCCACGCCGUAAACGUUGGGCACUAGGUGUGGGGGUCUAUCGACGACCUCUGUGCCGAAGCUAACGCAUUAAGUGCCCCGCCUGGGGAGUACGGCCGCAAGGCUAAA